UACGAAGGGGGCUAGCGUUGCUCGGAUUGACUGGGCGUAAAGGGCGCGUAGGCGGUUCGUACAGUCAGACGUGAAAUUCCUGGGCUCAACCUGGGGGCUGCGUUUGAUACGUCGGCGUAGUGAGUGCGGAAGAGGGUCGUGGAAUUCCCAGUGUAGAGGUGAAAUUCGUAGAUAUUGGGAAGAACACCGGUGGCGAAGGCGGCGACCUGGUCCGAUACUGACGCUGAGGCGCGAAAGCGUGGGGAGCAAACAGG
RNAcentral lists this ribosomal RNA (254 nucleotides) under uncultured bacterium. Its description in RNAcentral is "partial 16S ribosomal RNA". It matches the Rfam family "Bacterial small subunit ribosomal RNA", at positions 524 to 776 of the family's 1533-position model. The record is from RNAcentral.